AACCAUGGCUGAGGUUGCGGAUUGGCAUGAGUACCCCCGACAAAAGCGGCAAGCAGUCCGCCGGGGGGAAGGGGCCGUCCGCCGAAGUGUCUGGCGCGCUGCUUUCGCGCCGGAUGCUGGGCCGGUACAGAAGAUGUGCCGGACUGUCAUCUUCCCGGAAGGAGGAUGGAGUGCACCCAUGGGA
Molecule: regulatory RNA element, 184 nt
Organism: Firmicutes bacterium CAG:137
Lineage: Bacteria; Bacillati; Bacillota
Rfam family: Lysine riboswitch aptamer
About the family: Riboswitches are metabolite binding domains within certain messenger RNAs that serve as precision sensors for their corresponding targets. Allosteric rearrangement of mRNA structure is mediated by ligand binding, and this results in modulation of gene expression.
Source: Rfam